UCCUGAGUAUCCUGAUGCUGUACCUCCCUACUGCCUCGGCAAGCCUAAGGGUUCUGAAUCACAAGGGAGAAUCACUGAAGACUUCGCAAAUGAAGCGCUAAGGAAAUGCUACCUGAAUGAAGGGCAGCUCUCGCCACCAACGAGAGCUCAGGGUCGAGGAGGAAUCAGUCAGCAGCGCACACAGCUCGCGCUUGGGAAAAUGAAUCUCCGGCAUCCACGGCCGGCUCUGAAACCGUAGAGAGCUUAGCUGAGUGAGGAGUCGGGAACGCCUCACUGCUGUUACUUCUUUAUCCACAAGCUAAAGGGAAGAAUAGAGAGGAGAGUCAGGGCAAAGACUCCACCAGAGAGCCCAGCUCCGAAGGGCAAGACCACGUCCUGAGGCGUAGGUGCUGCCAAGGGAGACUUAAAAAAUAUGUCUCAGAGAUCAACCAGGAUGUGAGCAAGCAGACAGGAGCUAGUCCACAGGCCUCCCUGCAACGGCGGACUCUAUCCAUGACUCAGUAGACCCAAACAGACUUCAUCAAAGACAAGAUCAAGGGCAAGUAAAAAUGUAAAAGAUGAAA
Molecule: long non-coding RNA, 563 nt
Organism: Meriones unguiculatus (Mongolian gerbil)
Lineage: Eukaryota; Metazoa; Chordata; Mammalia; Rodentia; Muridae
Exons: 3
Source: RefSeq, a predicted model, not a curated record